This 372-nucleotide ribosomal RNA is filed under the name uncultured eukaryote. RNAcentral's name for it is "partial 18S ribosomal RNA". It matches the Rfam family "Eukaryotic small subunit ribosomal RNA", at positions 592 to 976 of the family's 1831-position model. The record is from RNAcentral.
CAAUAGCGUAUAUUAAAGUUGUUGCAGUUAAAAAGCUCGUAGUUGGACUUGUGGUGGUUCCUGUGGUCCGAUUUCGGUACUUUUGGGAACCGCCAUCCUUGGGUGGAUCCUGUGUGGCAUUAGGUUGUCGUGCAGGGGAUGCCCAUCGUUUACUGUGAAAAAAUUAGAGUGCUCAAAGCAGGCUUAUGCCGUUGAAUAUAUUAGCAUGGAAUAAUGAGAUAGGAUCUUGGUACUAUUUUGUUGGUUUGCGCACCGAGAUAAUGAUUAACAGGGACAGUUGUGGGUAUUCGUAUUCCAUUGUCAGAGGUGAAAUUCUUGGAUUUCUGGAGGACGAACUAAUGCGAAAGCAUUUACCAAGGAUGUUUUCAUUAA